AUAUAAACCAGGGGCCGCCAGCCAGUUCCUUGCAUCACACAGCAUUCAUCCUCUCUGCAGCUGCGUUCCUACUUCUUAAGUUCUUAGCCGCUCGCUCUUGACGAUCUUCUGAAGCGGCACGAGUCCAUCGACCGGAAAGGCAGUAGUUCGCUCGAUCUUCAGAUCAGAUGGCUGCUACGGCUACGGGAGCGGAGACCGUCAGGCCGGUUUUCCUCACCACGGAUCACGAGGACCAGCGGGCGGUGGAUCCGGUGAUCUGGGGCGACGAGGAGCGGAUGAAGAGGGAGCUCAUGGCGUGGGCCAAGGCCGUGGCGUCCAUGGCUCUGGACGUCGUCUCGUCGCCCGCACCGCCUCCUUCCGUGGGACAGGGGAGCCGCCUCCAGCCUUUCUGUAGAUCUCUUUGUGAUUAAUCGCUUGCCAAAAGGGCUACAAACCUACAGGAGUUUUUAGGCCUCUGCUUAUGAUUAUUGUUGGAGUUGGUGAACUAAACUGAACUUAUGACGGAAGCGUGAAAUACUACUCAUUCUGUUCCAUAAAUAUUGGUACGGUUUUGAACGGGAGUACUAUUGUACUGAA
Long non-coding RNA from Brachypodium distachyon (stiff brome), 576 nucleotides. RefSeq lists it as uncharacterized. NCBI's taxonomy places the organism in Eukaryota, Viridiplantae, Streptophyta, Magnoliopsida, Poales, Poaceae. The transcript has 2 exons. The record is from RefSeq and is a predicted model, not a curated record.